ACGAACGCUGGCGGCGUGCUUAACCCAUGCAAGUCGAACGGAAAGGCCUGCUUUCCCUUGUGGAUUGCGGGUACUCGAGUGGCGAACGGGUGAGUAACACGUGAGUGAUCUGCCCCCAACUUGGGUAUAAGCCUGGGAAACUGGGUCUAAUUCCCGAUAGGACUGCAGGGUGGUGCCUGUGGUGGAAAACGAUUUUCUAGUGGUUGGGGAUGAGCUCGCGGCCUAUCAGCUUGUUGGUGGGGUAAUGGCCUACCAAGGCGGCGACGGGUAGCCGGCCUGAGAGGGUGGACGGCCACAUUGGGACUGAGAUACGGCCCAGACUCCUACGGGAGGCAGCAGUGGGGAAUAUUGCACAAUGGGCGGAAGCCUGAUGCAGCGACGCCGCGUGGGGGAUGACGGCCUUCGGGUGGUAAACUCCUUUCGACCGCGAGGAAGCCACCUGGUUGGAAGGGUGGUGACGGUAGUGGUAGAAGAAGCACCGGCUAACUACGUG
Molecule: ribosomal RNA, 493 nt
Filed under: uncultured bacterium
Lineage: Bacteria
Description: partial 16S ribosomal RNA
Rfam family: Bacterial small subunit ribosomal RNA
Source: RNAcentral